RNAcentral lists this ribosomal RNA (468 nucleotides) under uncultured bacterium. RNAcentral describes it as "partial 16S ribosomal RNA". It matches the Rfam family "Bacterial small subunit ribosomal RNA", at positions 28 to 507 of the family's 1533-position model. The record is from RNAcentral.
GACGAACGCUGGCGGCGUGCUUAACACAUGCAAGUCGAACGGAAAGGCCCUGCUUUUGUGGGGUGCUCGAGCGGCGAACGGGUGAGUAACACGUGAGUAACCUGCCCUUGACUUUGGGAUAACUUCAGGAAACUGGGGCUAAUACCGGAUAGGAGCUCCUGCUGCAUGGUGGGGGUUGGAAAGUUUCGGCGGUUGGGGAUGGACUCGCGGCUUAUCAGCUUGUUGGUGGGGUAGUGGCUUACCAAGGCUUUGACGGGUAGCCGGCCUGAGAGGGUGACCGGCCACAUGGGGACUAAGGUACGGCCCAGACUCCUACGGGAGGCAGCAGGGGGGAAUAUUGCACAAUGGGCGGAAGCCUGAUGCAGCAACGCCGCGUGCGGGAUGACGGCCUUCGGGGUAUAAACCGCUUUCGCCUGUGACGAAGCGUGAGUGACGGUAAUGGGUAAAGAAGCACCGGCUAACUACGUG